GACGAACGCUGGCGGCGUGCUUAACACAUGCAAGUCGAACGGAAAGGCCCUGCUUGCCGGGUACUCGAGUGGCGAACGGGUGAGUAACACGUGGGUGAUCUGCCCUGCACUUCGGGAUAAGCCUGGGAAACUGGGUCUAAUACCGGAUAGGAGCCAUUUUUAGUGUGAUGGUUGGAAAGUUUUUUCGGUUUAGGAUGAGCUCGCGGCCUAUCAGCUUGUUGGUGGGGUAAUGGCCUACCAAGGCGGCGACGGGUAGCCGGCCUGGGGGGGUGGACGGCCAACUGGGGGCGGAAGAGAGGCCGCAGCGCGGACGGGGGGGGGAGGGGGGGAAGAUGGACCAAGGGGCGCAGGGUGGAUGCAGAGGCGCCGGGGGGGGGAUAACGCUGUUGGGGUUGAAAACGCUUUUCGCAGGGAACGAUGCUUUUUGUGACGGUACCUAAUAAGAAAGCCCCGGCUAACUACGUG
This 465-nucleotide ribosomal RNA is filed under the name uncultured bacterium. RNAcentral's name for it is "partial 16S ribosomal RNA". It matches the Rfam family "Bacterial small subunit ribosomal RNA", at positions 28 to 507 of the family's 1533-position model. The record is from RNAcentral.